This 253-nucleotide ribosomal RNA is filed under the name uncultured bacterium. RNAcentral's name for it is "partial 16S ribosomal RNA". It matches the Rfam family "Bacterial small subunit ribosomal RNA", at positions 524 to 776 of the family's 1533-position model. The record is from RNAcentral.
UACAUGGGGUGCAAACGUUGCUCGGAAUCAUUGGGCGUAAAGCGCACGUAGGCGGUUCGUUAUGUCGGAUGCGAAAGCCCUCGGCUUAACCGGGGAAGUGCAUCCGAAACUGGCGAGCUUGAGUACUAAAGAGGGUCGCGGAAUUCCCGGUGUAGAGGUGAAAUGCGUAGAUAUCGGGAGGAACACCUGUGGCGAAAGCGGCGCACUGGACCACAUCUGACGCUGAGGCGCGAAAGCUAGGGGAGCAAACAGG